GAUGAACGCUGGCGGCGUGCUUAACACAUGCAAGUCGAACGGUGAAGGCGGAGCUUGCUCUGCUGGAUCAGUGGCGAACGGGUGAGUAACACGUGAGCAAUCUGCCCCUGACUCUGGGAUAAGCGCUGGAAACGGCGUCUAAUACUGGAUACGAGCUGCGAAGGCAUCUUCAGCAGCUGGAAAGAAUUUCGGUCAGGGACGAGCUCGCGGCCUAUCAGCUUGUUGGUGAGGUAAUGGCUCACCAAGGCGUCGACGGGUAGCCGGCCUGAGAGGGUGACCGGCCACACUGGGACUGAGACACGGCCCAGACUCCUACGGGAGGCAGCAGUGGGGAAUAUUGCACAAUGGGCGAAAGCCUGAUGCAGCAACGCCGCGUGAGGGACGACGGCCUUCGGGUUGUAAACCUCUUUUAGCAGGGAAGAAGCGAAAGUGACGGUACCUGCAGAAAAAGCGCCGGCUAACUACGUG
RNAcentral lists this ribosomal RNA (468 nucleotides) under uncultured bacterium. Its description in RNAcentral is "partial 16S ribosomal RNA". It matches the Rfam family "Bacterial small subunit ribosomal RNA", at positions 28 to 507 of the family's 1533-position model. The record is from RNAcentral.